Molecule: ribosomal RNA, 492 nt
Filed under: uncultured bacterium
Lineage: Bacteria
Description: partial 16S ribosomal RNA
Rfam family: Bacterial small subunit ribosomal RNA
Source: RNAcentral
AUUGAACGCUGGCGGCAUGCUUUACACAUGCAAGUCGAACGGUAACAGGCCUUCGGGUGCUGACGAGUGGCGAACGGGUGAGUAAUGCAUCGGAACGUACCCAGAGGUGGGGGAUAACGCAGCGAAAGCUGUGCUAAUACCGCAUGUGAUCUGAGGAUGAAAGCGGGGGACCGAGCAGCAAUGUUUGGCCUCGCGCCUUUGGAGCGGCCGAUGUCGGAUUAGCUAGUUGGUGGGGUAAAGGCCUACCAAGGCGACGAUCCGUAGCUGGUCUGAGAGGACGACCGGCCACACUGGGGCGGAGACACGGCCCAGACUCCUACGGGAGGCAGCAGUGGGGAAUUUUGGACAAUGGGCGCAAGCCUGAUCCAGCAAUGCCGCGUGCGGGAAGAAGGCCUUCGGGUUGUAAACCGCUUUUGGCAGGAACGAAACGGUGUCCGCUAAUACCGGGCGCUAAUGACGGUACCUGCAGAAUAAGCACCGGCUAACUACGUG